CUCGUGUGCCUCCCCACUUGUGUUGUGACACGUGGUUCCUAAGCACUUCCUGGCUGCCCAGCACAGCCGCUGCAGAUACACAGCCGGGACGAAAAAACACCGCAGCCCAUGCUUCACGAGGCAGCUCCGUGGCGGGGGUGCGGACUGUAGACUCGAUUGCUUGAGCUUGGCUUUCUGAGCAGCCGCUGUGGGCCCGGCUGAAGGUAAAUGGUCGCCAUGUCAGUUAAGGGCAAAGCAACCAGGAAGUGGCGACCGCCGGAUGAGAGAGUGCCCAAGUCUACGCGGGAAGAUACCCCUGGCAGCGCUCAUCUGAGGUCGACCCUGGGAUAUUCGUAGAGUUCACAACCCCCCCCCAAAUGCCAGAAGCCAGUGAGUCCUGGUGCACAGAAGUGGCGCACGGCUGCCCCGUGAUCCUUCAGCUUGAGCCCGGGAAAGCCACUGCCAGCACGCGAUUUGAAUAAGCUUCCAAACGCGGCUGCUUUAACUAAGCUCAAGCGGUUGCUGGGCUUCAGAGAAGCAACUCCUUCGUUUGACGGAAGUCUUGCCCUGCCCUGCGAGCGGUUGCCCCAUUAGGAUUGCUGUAAAUAUACAACUUGUAUCCCGACAACUCGGUAUACUCGGUUACAGAGUCCGACAACUCUGCAACUUGCGUGGGAGGUAGUCCUGUCCACAAAACAAAUCCAACAUCAUCAACAGCCGGCAGUAAAGAACGUCAGUUCUCACUCCGUACAGUUAGCUACUCAAGAACAGAAAUCGUUUCUCAUUCGUCUUUGUAUCCCCAGCUUUCAGAAAAUCGUAGGCCCUAAUAAAUGUUUGGAGAACGAGA
This is a long non-coding RNA of Choloepus didactylus (southern two-toed sloth), 826 nucleotides long. RefSeq lists it as uncharacterized. The record is from RefSeq and is a predicted model, not a curated record. Lineage: Eukaryota; Metazoa; Chordata; Mammalia; Pilosa; Megalonychidae. The transcript has 2 exons.